AUUGAACGCUGGCGGCAUGCUUUACACAUGCAAGUCGAACGGUAACAGGCCUUCGGGUGCUGACGAGUGGCGAACGGGUGAGUAAUGCAUCGGAACGUACCCAGAGGUGGGGGAUAACGCAGCGAAAGCUGUGCUAAUACCGCAUGUGAUCUGGGGAUGAAAGCGGGGGACCGAGCAGCAAUGUUUGGCCUCGCGCCUUUGGAGCGGCCGAUGUCGGAUUAGCUAGUUGGUGGGGUAAAGGCCUACCAAGGCGACGAUCCGUAGCUGGUCUGAGAGGACGGUCAGCCACACUGGGACUGAGACACGGCCCAGACUCCUACGGGAGGCAGCAGUGGGGAAUGUUGGACAAUGGGCGCAAGCCUGAUCCAGCAAUGCCGCGUGCGGGAAGAAGGCCUUCGGGUUGUAAACCGCUUUUGGCAGGAACGAAACGGUGUCCGCUAAUACCGGGCGCUAAUGACGGUACCUGCAGAAUAAGCACCGGCUAACUACGUG
This 492-nucleotide ribosomal RNA is filed under the name uncultured bacterium. Its description in RNAcentral is "partial 16S ribosomal RNA". It matches the Rfam family "Bacterial small subunit ribosomal RNA", at positions 29 to 507 of the family's 1533-position model. The record is from RNAcentral.